UCAGUAUAUAUUUUAAUUAAAAUAUUAAUUUUGGAUAUUAAUGAUAAUAUAUUUUAUAUUUAUACUGAU
RNAcentral lists this transfer RNA (69 nucleotides) under Meitanaphis elongallis. RNAcentral's name for it is "tRNA-Pro". Lineage: Eukaryota; Metazoa; Arthropoda; Insecta; Hemiptera; Aphididae. The record is from RNAcentral. RNAcentral also lists the same sequence under 1 other name.